RNAcentral lists this ribosomal RNA (543 nucleotides) under uncultured bacterium. Its description in RNAcentral is "partial 16S ribosomal RNA". It matches the Rfam family "Bacterial small subunit ribosomal RNA", at positions 355 to 891 of the family's 1533-position model. The record is from RNAcentral.
UGGGGAAUUUUGGACAAUGGGCGAAAGCCUGAUCCAGCAAUGCCGCGUGUGUGAAGAAGGCCUUCGGGUUGUAAAGCACUUUUGUCCGGAAAGAAAUCCUUGGCUCUAAUACAGUCGGGGGAUGACGGUACCGGAAGAAUAAGCACCGGCUAACUACGUGCCAGCAGCCGCGGUAAUACGUAGGGUGCAAGCGUUAAUCGGAAUUACUGGGCGUAAAGUGUGCGCAGGCGGUUUGCUAAGACCGAUGUGAAAUCCCCGGGCUCAACCUGGGAACUGCAUUGGUGACUGGCAGGCUAGAGUAUGGCAGAGGGGGGUAGAAUUCCACGUGUAGCAGUGAAAUGCGUAGAGAUGUGGAGGAAUACCGAUGGCGAAGGCAGCCCCCUGGGCCAAUACUGACGCUCAUGCACGAAAGCGUGGGGAGCAAACAGGAUUAGAUACCCUGGUAGUCCACGCCCUAAACGAUGUCAACUAGUUGUUGGGGAUUCAUUUCCUUAGUAACGUAGCUAACGCGUGAAGUUGACCGCCUGGGGAGUACGGUCGCAA